AGUUCAUCAUGGCUCAGAUUGAACGCUAUGAUGCUUUAUACAUGUGCAGUCGAAUGCAGCACGGACUCUGGCCUGGUGGCGAGUGGCGAACGGGUGAGGUCGAUUUUGAACGCCGUAGCGGGGAUUAACCACGCGAAAGCGUAGCUAAUACCGCAUACGUAGCCCUUCGGGGAAAGCGGGGGACCUUCGGCCUCGCACUAUUAGAGCGGCUGAGCACAUCGGAUUAGCUAGUUGCGGGGGUAACGGUCACCGUAUAUGACGACGUCCGCGGUAGCUUAACAGAGGACGACCGCCGUUACCGGGACUGAGACACGGCCCAUUCCCACGGGAGGCAGCAGUAAAUUGACAAUGGGGAAACCUGAUCCAGCCGCAUCCUGCGUGUGUUAAGCACGGCCUCUGGUUGUGCGCCACUUUUGGCAGUGAAACGGCACGGGAUAAUACCCUGUAACCUGACGGUACCUGCAGAAUAAGCACCGGCGUUAACUUACGCAGCAGCCGCGGUAAUACGUAGGGUGCAAGCGUUAAUCGGAAUUACUGCUAAAGCGUGCGCAGGCGGUUCGGAAAGAAAGAUGUGAAAUCAGAGCUUAACUUUGGAACUGCAUUUUUAACUACCGAGCUAGAGCGGUCAGAGGGAGAAUCGCGUGUAGCAGGAAAUGCGGGAGGCGGCGGAGGAACACCGAUGGCGAUGCAGCCUCCUGGUAUAACACUGACGCUCAUGCACGAAAGCGUGGGGACAAACAGACAGAUACCCUGAAGCUCCACGCCCGGGAAACGAUGUCAACCGGUCGUUGUUCUUCGGGCCUUGUAGCGCAGCCAACAUAGCUGACCGCCCAGUACGGUCGCAAGAUUAAACCCAAAGAUUGAUGGGAUCGCGCUAAAGCGGUGGAUGAAGUGGAUUAAUUGAUGCACGCGAAAACCUUACCUACUCCUUGAUAUGUCUGGAAUCCUGAAGAGAUUUGGGAGUGCUCGCAAGAGAACCGGAACACAGGUGCUGCAUGGCUGUCGUCAGCUCGUGUCGUGAGAUGUUGUUGUCCCUGCAACGAGUGCAACCUCUGUAUGCUACAGCAACGAAAGGGCACUGAAUGAGACUGUUAUGACAAACCGGAGGAAGGUGGGAUGGUCGCCGGUCCUCAUGGCCCUUAUGUGGGGCUUCACGCUGCGACAAUGGUCGGGACAGGUCGCCAACCCGCGAGGGGGAGCCAAUCCAGAAACCGAUUUGAAUCCGAUCGCAAGAACUUACUGCGUAGUCGGAAUCGCUAUAAUCGCGGAUCGCAUGUCGCGUGAAUAUGUUCCCGGGGUCUUGUACACACCGCCCGUCACACCAUGGGAGUGGGUUUGUACUGCAGGAAGUAGUUAGCUUCAACCGUAAGCAGCGGCGAUUACCACGGUAGGAUUCAUGACUGGGGGUGUCGUAAUAAGGUAA
Molecule: ribosomal RNA, 1423 nt
Filed under: uncultured Bordetella sp.
Lineage: Bacteria; Pseudomonadati; Pseudomonadota; Betaproteobacteria; Burkholderiales; Alcaligenaceae
Description: partial 16S-23S ribosomal RNA intergenic spacer
Rfam family: Bacterial small subunit ribosomal RNA
Source: RNAcentral